GGAUUGUAAAUUCCUUUUGUUGGGGAAGAUAAUGACGGUACUCAACUAAGAAGCCCCGGCUAACUACGUGCCAGCAGCCGCGGUAAUACGUAGGUGGCAAGCGUUAUCCGGAUUUACUGGGUGUAAAGGGAGCGCAGGCGGGAAGACAAGUCUGAAGUGAAAUCCAGGGGCUCAACCCAUGAACUGCUUUCGAAACUGUCUUUCUUGAGUACUGCAGAGGUAGGCGGAAUUCCUGGUGUAGCGGUGAAAUGCGUAGAUAUUGGGAGGAACACCAGUGGCGAAGGCGGCCUACUGGACGCCAACUGACGCUGAGGCUCGAAAGCGUGGGGAGCAAACAGGAUUAGAUACCCUGGUAGUCCACGCCGUAAACGAUGAUUUCUAGGAGUUAAAUGAUUGACCCCUUCAGCACCGCCGUUAACCCUUUCAGUAAUCCACUUGGUGAGUAAGACCGCAAGUUUAAAACUCAAAGGAAUAGCCGCGCCCCCCACAAGCCAUGUAGUAUGUGUUUUAAUUAGACGCAGCGCGUUGACCCGUCCCGAGUUUCGUCAUCCUGAGUCGCACAUAGAUAUAUCUGUUUCGUCCGAGAAGCCAAGACAGGCAGUGCAUGGUUGUGGUCAGCUCGUGUGAUGAGAGGUUGAGUCAAGUCCCGCACGGAGCCCAUCUCUCCAUUUCCCUUCGUAUGCACGAGGCAUUUGGCAGGGCUUCCCUGGGCUAACCGGAGGAAGGUGGGGGAGACGUCCAAUUCUUCUUCCCCUUUUUACUUUGGGUUCCCCCGUUGUUCCAAGGGGUUAAACAAAGAGAAGCGAGCCCGCGAGGGGGAGCAAAUCUCAGAAACAACGUCCCAGUUCGGACUGCAGUCUGCAACUCGCCUACACGAAGUUGGAAUCGCUAGUAAUCGUGGAUCAGCAUGCCGCGGUGAAUACGUUCCCGGGCCUUGCACUCACCACCCGUCAA
This 954-nucleotide ribosomal RNA is filed under the name uncultured bacterium. Its description in RNAcentral is "bacterial SSU rRNA". It matches the Rfam family "Bacterial small subunit ribosomal RNA", at positions 420 to 1400 of the family's 1533-position model. The record is from RNAcentral.